Molecule: ribosomal RNA, 468 nt
Filed under: uncultured bacterium
Lineage: Bacteria
Description: partial 16S ribosomal RNA
Rfam family: Bacterial small subunit ribosomal RNA
Source: RNAcentral
GACGAACGCUGGCGGCGUGCUUAACACAUGCAAGUCGAACGGAAAGGCCCUGCUUUUGUGGGGUGCUCGAGUGGCGAACGGGGGAGUAACACGUGAGUAACCUGCCCUUGACUGUGGGAUAACUUCAGGAAACUGGGGCUAAUACCGGAUAGGAGCUCCUGCUGCAUGGUGGGGGUUGGAAAGUUUCGGCGGUUGGGGAUGGACUCGCGGGUUAUCAGCUUGUUGGGGGGGUAGUGGCUUACCAAGGCUUUGACGGGUAGCCGGCCUGAGAGGGUGGCCGGCCACAUUGGGCCUGAGAUACGGCCCAGACUCCUACGGGAGGCAGAAGUGGGGAAUAUUGCACAAUGGGCGGAAGCCUGAUGCAGCAACGCCGCGUGCGGGAUGACGGCCUUCGGGUUGUAAACCGCUUUCGCCUGUGACGAAGCGUGAGUGACGGUAAUGGGUAAAGAAGCACCGGCUAACUACGUG